RNAcentral lists this ribosomal RNA (467 nucleotides) under uncultured bacterium. RNAcentral describes it as "partial 16S ribosomal RNA". It matches the Rfam family "Bacterial small subunit ribosomal RNA", at positions 28 to 507 of the family's 1533-position model. The record is from RNAcentral.
GACGAACGCUGGCGGCGUGCUUAACACAUGCAAGUCGAACGGAAAGGCCCUGCUUUUGUGGGGUGCUCGAGUGGCGAACGGGUGAGUAACACGUGAGUAACCUGCCCUUGACUUUGGGAUAACUUCAGGAAACUGGGGCUAAUACCGGAUAGGAGCUCCUGCUGCAUGGUGGGGGUUGGAAAGUUUCGGCGGUUGGGGAUGGACUCGCGGCUUAUCAGCUUGUUGGUGGGGUAGUGGCUUACAAAGGCUUUGACGGGUAGCCGGCCUGGGAGGGUGACCGGCACAAUGGGACUGGGGUACCGCCCAGACUUCUACCGGGGGGAAGAGGUGGGGAUAAUGCCCCAUGGGCCGAAGGCUUAUUCAGCAACCCCCGCGUCCGGAUGAAGGGCCUUCGGGUGGAAACCGGCUUUCGCUUGUGCCGAGGCGUGGGUGCGGUAAUUGGGAAAGAAGCACCGGCUAACUACGUG